GACGAACGCUGGCGGCGUGCCUAAUACAUGCAAGUAGAACGCUGAAGAGAGGAGCUUGCUCUUCUUGGAUGAGUUGCGAACGGGUGAGUAACGCGUAGGUAACCUGCCUUGUAGCGGGGGAUAACUAUUGGAAACGAUAGCUAAUACCGCAUAACAAUGGAUGACACAUGUCAUUUAUUUGAAAGGGGCAAUUGCUCCACUACAAGAUGGACCUGCGUUGUAUUAGCUAGUAGGUGAGGUAAUGGCUCACCUAGGCGACGAUACAUAGCCGACCUGAGAGGGUGAUCGGCCACACUGGGACUGAGACACGGCCCAGACUCCUACGGGAGGCAGCAGUAGGGAAUCUUCGGCAAUGGGGGCAACCCUGACCGAGCAACGCCGCGUGAGUGAAGAAGGUUUUCGGAUCGUAAAGCUCUGUUGUAAGUCAAGAACGGGUGUGAGAGUGGAAAGUACACACUGUGACGGUAGCUUACCAGAAAGGGACGGCUAACUACGUG
This 497-nucleotide ribosomal RNA is filed under the name uncultured bacterium. RNAcentral describes it as "partial 16S ribosomal RNA". It matches the Rfam family "Bacterial small subunit ribosomal RNA", at positions 28 to 507 of the family's 1533-position model. The record is from RNAcentral.